GUCACAGUAUUGUUUUCUUUUUCAUAUUUUCUAUUGUCUUCAUUUUCAAUAAGUGAAGAUGGUUUCUGUUUUACUUUUAAAAUCCACUUUACAGUUUAACCCUCUUAUAGUUAGUUACAUAUUUUAAGUUAACCUUCAGCCCCUCCCAGGGUAACAAGCUGUAUAAAAUACAGCCACACAAGACAACAGUUUAUGAAAGACUUUUGUGUUUUGCAUUUCAGUUUCUUGAGUUAUACAGUAGUCCUCCCUUAUUUGUGGUUUUGCUUUCUGCGGUUUCAGUUACCUGCAGUCCAAAAAUACUAAAUGAAAACUUCCAGAAAUAAACAAUUUAUAAGUUUUAAAUUGUACACUGUUCUGAAUAGCAUGAUAAAAUCUGGUGGUGUCCUGCCUGGGACGUGAAUCAUCCCAGCACAUCUAUGCUUUAUAAGCUACCCAUUAGUUACUUAGUAGCUGUCUUGGUUGUCACAUCUACUGUCAUGGUAUCACAGUGCCUGUGUUCCACUAAGCCUCAUUUUAUUUCAUGGCCCCAAAGCACAAGAGCCGCGAUGCUGGCCAUUUUGGAUAUGCCAAAGAGAAGCUGUAAAGUGCUUCCUUUAAGUGAAAAGGUGGAAGUUCUUGACUUAAUAAGGGAAGACAAAAAAUUGUAUGCUGAGGUUGCUAAAACUUACAGUAACUUUUAUUACAGCAUAUUGUUAUAAUUGUUCUGUUGUGGUUAAUUUCUUACUAUGCCUCAUUUAUAAAGUAAACUUUAUCAUAAGUGUGUAUGUAUAGGAAAAUUCAGUAUAAUCGGGUUCAGUACUAUCUCAGUUUCAGGCAUCCACUGGGGUCUUGGAACGUAUCCCCUGUGGAUAAGGGGGGACUACUGUACCUGAAUUUUGGCCUUUAUUAAGUUGAAUAUAUAUCCACCUGAGCUAUUUCAAUAUGUGACCACUUUUUUCUUGUUUUCAUACAGUAUCAUAGUUAUAAUAGAACUCUGUACCGAAUCAUGAUCACAGUUUUAAAGUUAGUCUAUAUUGGGGGAACACAGGAACUUCACUCUUGAAGGAUAUUUAAAAUGAUCAGUUUACUGCUUUCAUAUUCUCACCACAUUUAGAAUAUUUUUUCAUGCAUUCACAAUUAGUUUUAUUUACCUAUUUCAAAAAUAAGCCCUAGGGAUUUAUUUUAAAUCUGUGCAGUGUGGUAGAGAGGGAAUAACAUUUAACAGGGUGUUAGGAAACCUGUGUUCUAGUUUAAGCAUUGCCUUUAGUAAAACUAAAUCAGUAGGUAAUGUAAGAUAAAUCAUUUUACUGACGUUUUGUUUGUAUUCAUCAGUAAGUUAUACAAGUUAAUUUCUAAAGUUUUUUUUCAAGUUCGUAAACUCUGAAGAAUUUCUGAGAUGGAGAAGAAUCACCGAAAAUGUUACUUUGAAAACCAGUUGUACAAAACUGGUAGGUAUUACUAAAGUCACUUUCCUGAAAUAGUAAUAAUCAGAAAUUAUAGAUUAUGUUGAGUACUUAGUAUGUAAAGACACUUUGUGCUUACGUGCUGACUUGUUUCAUCACCAUAUAACGUACUCCCUGUUUUUUUUUUUUUUUUUAAAGAUUUUAUUUUUUCCUUUUUCUCCCCAAAGCCCCCCAGUACUUAGUUGUAUAUUCUUCGUUGUGGAUCCUUCUAGUUGUGGCAUGUGGGACGCCGCCUCAGCAUGGUCUGAUGAGCAGUGCCAUGUCCGCGCCCAGGAUUCGAACUAACGAAACACUGGGCCGCCUGCAGCGGAGCGUGCGAACUUAAUCACUCGGCCACGGGGCCAGCCCCGUCGUACUCCCUGUUUUUACAGUUGGGGAGACAGGCCCAGAGAUGCUAAUAACUUGUCCAAGAUUACAAAGGUAGUAACGAUGGAGCUGAGAUUCCACUUAGAUUUUUAGCCAGUUUGGUGUUUCAGAAGAAGCCACCUCAUCUCUUUUCGAAAAAAUACAAGUUAAUGUUUAAAACGGUGGUGCUAGGUUCUACUAAGGAUAGAAAGCGUAUUUCCUUCAAAGCUUCCCUUUUAAGAGGUUUUCCUAAAGCGUUUAAUCACUUUUGAUGUUAACCUAUGCUUUGUAUUUUGGGUGUUAAAAAGUUUAGUAUCCAGUUAAUAAUCUAUUCUAAAAAGCUCAACACUUAGUUGAGUUCUUACUAAGUAUCAGGCAUUAUUCUAUAUGCUUGGAUUAGCUCAUUUAAUUCUCAUAAUAACUGGUUUCUCCCCUCUUGAUUUUUUUGGAUGAAAAAAGUGACAGAAGAACUUGGUGUAAAAUUUUGCAUGAUAAUUUUUUUUCUAUUCAGAGGAAUCAAAAUAUUAGACAUGUAAAGUUGAAAUUUUUGACUAUUUGAAGACAUUUAUGACAGUCUGCCUUAAUGUGAAAGGGGUAAUUUCUUCCAUGUACUCUACAAUGUUGGUUCUAAAUCUAUACAUCAGCAACAUGUGCAAGUCAAAAAUUUUAAGUUUAGGUAUCCAGUUGGGUUUUAUUGGCUAAAAUAAAAAUUCAAGGGAGUGAAAUUGAAUUCAGGUAUCUCACUUCUCUUUUGGAUUUGCUUUCCUCUGUGGUGGUUUUAUUCUCAGGGAUAGUCUUAAGUGUUCUAAAAAUGGCCAUCACCAUCUGCAGGUUUCCAUUAUUCAUAUGGUUCUCAAUGUCAGCAGGAAACAGCCAUUUUUCCACCACGUUUCCAUAUCAGUUCUACAAAAGGACUGUGACUAGCCAUGCUAGCCUGGAGCCAGCUCCAAUCCUAUUUGUGUGUCCAGGGAAAUGGAGUUCUUUGACUAGCUAGCAUGGGAGGCAGGAGAGGCAGGGAAUUUUAUGGUCGGCUCCAUUGGAAGUAAAUCAGGAGGGACAGUUCCCAAAUGACAUGGACAAAGUAACAAAUGUUUGAUAAAUCUAUGGUCUCAUAGAGCUAACAUCUAAAUGUCUGACUUCUCGCUCAGAAUAUUUUGUCAUAGGCAUAGCUUCCUUCUGCUUCUGGCUAUCUAUCUGUUCUGUAGAAUACCUUGGUCACUCUUCUGCAAGGACCUGCAUUUUGCUUUGUCAUACCUUUAAAAAUUAUCCUAAGGCAUGUGGGAUGUACGGAGUAAGAAGAAGGAAAUGUGAAUUGUUGCCAGCAUUUCACUGGCUAUCCUGGAGUUCCCUGACUCCAAGUUUUUUCUCUCUCUGUCCUAAACUUGUCUGUGGCAUCUGAAAGACUCUUCAACCCUACUAAUAAUAUUCAGGGUAUAACAGGUCAGUAAACAACUGUUCCAGAUCUUGACUUCCACUGAGGUCACUCAAAAGAACUUUGUUUUUAAAUUGUGUGUCCCGGAGACCGGAGGCUACAGUAAGCUUCACAGAGUUUCCAAGGGGCUCAGUGAUUACGGAAUGUGAGCUGAGUUUUUGGCUGGAAAUGUUAAAUCAUUUGGCAAAUGACUGGCUUCUAGAAUGCGAAAAUGCCUUUACUUAUAGUGGUUUUCAGGAGUAGAUGAGAAUUUUGGUACAAAAUUAAGUAGUUUUAAUGGAAACAUCCUAUUUGGAUUAAAGAGGUAUUUCUUUUAUUGCAGAAGUAAUCGUGUUUUUCCUCUGUGUAACUUGUGAGAGUUUUUAACUGAAAUCUAUGGAGAUAGAAUAUUAUUGGGAUUAAUGUCAAUCUCAGAAGACUCAAUUUGUUCUUAUUUUUGUGUUUAGAACUAUUUAAAUGCACAUAAAAUAUUUAUACAAACUUCCUUUUGGGCCUAAAAAUUUUGUGUGUUGUAUUUCAAGUGUACAUCAUUAUAUUUUGACUUUAUAGACUACAUCCUGCUUAGGAUGGCUGCUUUUACCACCAAAAGUCUAGUUGCCAUCUGUUGUUAUACAAAUGUACCCUUUUGCCUCUUUUGCUCUCUCCCACCCCACUUCCGCUCCCCUCUGGGAGUGGAAUCUGUGUAUCUGUGUAUCUGUGAAUCUCUGUGUCUGUGUGUUUGUUUGUUGUUGUUUUCUUAUCUUCCACAUAUGAUUGAAAUCAUAAUGUAUUUGGCUUUCUCCUUCCAACAUACUUUACUUACCUUAAAACCCUCAAGGUCCAACCAUGUUGUCACAAAUGGGAAAAUUUCAUCUUUUUUUUUAUGGCUGAGUAGUAUUCAAUUUUAUACAUACACUACAUCUUUAUCCAGUCAUCCAUUGAUGAUCAUUAGGUAGUUUCCAAGUCUUGGCUAUUGUGAAUAAUGCUGCAGUGAACAUAAGGGUGCAUAUAUCUUUUCAGAUUAGUGUUUUUGUUUUCUUUGCAUAAAUACCCAAAAGCGAAAUAGCUAGAUCAUAUGAUAUUUCUAUUUUUAAUUUUUUGAGGAAUCUCCAUACUGUUUUCCAUAGUGGCUGCACCAGUUUACAUUCCCACCAGCAGUGUAUAAGGGUUCCCUUUUCUCCACAUCGUCUCCAAUACUUGUUACUACUUGUCUUUUUAGUAAUAGCCAUUAUGACGAGUGUGAGGUUAUAUCUCAUUGGGCUUUUGAUUUGCAUUUCCCUAAUAAUUAGUGAUGACCAUCUUUUCAUGUUCCUGUUGGUUUUCUGUAUAUCUUCUUUAGAAAUAUAUCUGUUGAGAUCGUGUGCCCAUCUUUUAAUUGGUUUGUUCACUUUUUGUUUUUGUUAUAUGAGUACUUUAUAUAUUUUGAAUAUU
Molecule: long non-coding RNA, 4629 nt
Organism: Equus caballus (horse)
Lineage: Eukaryota; Metazoa; Chordata; Mammalia; Perissodactyla; Equidae
Source: Ensembl